GAUGAACGCUGGCGGCGUGCCUAAUACAUGCAAGUCGAGCGAACAGAUGAGGAGCUUGCUCCUCUGACGUUAGCGGCGGACGGGUGAGUAACACGUGGAUAACCUACCUAUAAGACUGGGAUAACUUCGGGAAACCGGAGCUAAUACCGGAUAAUAUAUUGAACCGCAUGGUUCAAUAGUGAAGGACGGUUUUGCUGUCACUUAUAGAUGGAUCCGCGCCGCAUUAGCUAGUUGGUAAGGUAACGGCUUACCAAGGCAACGAUGCGUAGCCGACCUGAGAGGGUGAUCGGCCACACUGGAACUGAGACACGAUCCAGACUCCUACGGGAGGCAGCAGUAGGGAAUCUUCCGCAAUGGGCGAAAGCCUGACGGAGCAACGCCGCGUGAGUGAUGAAGGUCUUCGGAUCGUAAAACUCUGUUAUUAGGGAAGAACAAAUGUGUAAGUAACUAUGCACGUCUUGACGGUACCUAAUCAGAAAGCCACGGCUAACUACGUG
RNAcentral lists this ribosomal RNA (497 nucleotides) under uncultured bacterium. RNAcentral describes it as "partial 16S ribosomal RNA". It matches the Rfam family "Bacterial small subunit ribosomal RNA", at positions 28 to 507 of the family's 1533-position model. The record is from RNAcentral.